CAUGAAAAUAAAUUAAUGCGUUGAAUUGAAACAUAAAAAUGAACACCAGUCAUCUAAUAUAAGGAAAUAUUUAUCAUUCAUAUAUUGAAUAAAGGGUUUGUAAAAAGGAAUACCUAGAAAGCUCUGUUGAUUAAAUAAAAAUGAGGUAAUUAGAAAGAAAGACAUGUAUAUAAACACAAAAGUCUCAGAAAGAAUUCUGAAUGCCAGGACUUACAUGUAAAAAUGAACUGAAUACACAUAACAGCACCAGCAAUAGAAAAAUGCAAAUUAAAAGAGUAGUAAAAUGUUAUUUUAAAAUGUUAAAAUCCAACAUAUCAAAAUGUUAAAUCCAACAUAUUCAAUUACUAGUGAAAAAAGAAUUGAGGGCUGGGGAUUUAGCUCAGCAGCAAAAGUGCCUGCCUGGCAAGCGCAAGGUCGUGAGUUCGGUUCCCGGUACCAGAGAAAAACCAAAAAAAAAAAAAAAGAAAAAAGAAAAAAGAAUUGAAACUUUGCAGAUGAGAUAAAAUUUAUAACCUUUUGGAAAGCAAUGCUCAGUAUUUAGUAAGUUUGAAAUUGUAUGUAGUUCAUAGACCAAGAACCCUCAAUCAAGAGGGCUCUGCCAGACGUAUGCAGAGACUACUUACAGCGAAGUCUUUCGCAGCACGUUUGUAACAAAAUAAUAUUCCUUCUGAAGCUGGAGGGGGAUGCAGAAAGGACUCUGGAUGGCGGCUUCUGGGACAGCCCGUGCGGAGCUAAAUCCUGACACUAAGCACGUGAAAGCACUUGUGUGCCGCCCAGAACGCCACUCAUCAAGAAGAGGUGGUCCAGGUACACGUCCCAUCUCCAGCCUGCCCUUGCCAGCACCUCCACCGCUUGGUUUCUUUUCACACCGGUGUUUCUGAGAGCUGUUAGGGGAAGAGAAAUAAAAAAUACUGAUGCUUUAUGGUGCUGCUUACUUACCUAAUAUAACAUAAUCUCAGUGGCGGACCCUGGGCAUUGUUAUUUUUGUUUUUCUUUGUUUUUGUUUACAUUUUCAGAUGAUUCAAAUGUAAGAUAAAGAGGAACAUAACUGAUUAUAAUCAAGAAUUAGCCUUGAAGAUCGUGUUUGAAAUCAAUUUCAAUGAAACACAGGGCUUCCCGUAGAGAGGAGAGGAUAAUUAUGACAGAAUGCACAACUCCGCUAGCAAAGAGAAAUGGAUUCUGUACGCACACCCGCCUGCUUCUCAUUGCUGUCUGGGUUUUCUUUCUAACUGUAAGAUAAAUCUUUGGUUCCUAUUGCUGCCAUUAUGUUGCUGAUCUCCCUUGUAUGGUAUUAUUCCCGGAGUUCUUAUUCAUUGCUUGCUUCUUCUGUAACUCUUUAUUUUGCUUUAUUCGACUCUUCUCUUGCUGCAUUUUGAUUACCAUCUAUAUCUCACUGAAUCUUGACUCCAAAUAGAAUAGUCCUCCGUACUUGACACCUUCUACUUCUGCUAUUCUUUUCAACAUAACACUGUUACCUUGUGUCUUAACUACUAGACUUUCUCUUUUCACUGAAAUUUAAUACUCAAUAUUAAUAUAGUAUCUUAUUGGUUUUGUUCUACAGCAGCUACUGAAUGCUGUAGUUGUGCAAUUUAUAUCUAACAGAACUAUUGUUAUUUUUAUCUACUCAGGUAAUUAUUUUCAUUUUUAAAAUUCAGAGCCAUGACAUUACUCCUAACUAUACUCCCGCUAUUUUAAUGUGCUUAUAUGAUACACAUAAAAUGACUGAAGUUAAAAAUAUGUCUCAAUAAAUGUGGCUUUUGUUCAUAAUGUACUGGAAUCCAGGAUUAUUUAUUUGUUUUAAUCACUGGUGAGAGUGCUAAUGAUUAUGAUUCCGACUUUAUCUCAUGGACUGGCCUCUCCUCUACUCUCUGUGUAACAAUAGUCUCUAGUAGGUAUAAGGACUACCAAGUAAAUUGUUAUAGAAAGAUGUUUAUCUGUUAUCUCAGAGGAACAGACAGAAAAUUUACACAUAAUUAUACUAGAAUGAUUCGACAACCUGACCAGGGUAAAUUUUCCGAAAUGAGAGCAGUUAUUUCUCAAAUUGGUAUUCUAC
Molecule: long non-coding RNA, 2053 nt
Filed under: Chinchilla lanigera (long-tailed chinchilla)
Lineage: Eukaryota; Metazoa; Chordata; Mammalia; Rodentia; Chinchillidae
Description: lncRNA (ENSCLAG00000023277.1)
Source: RNAcentral